UACGUAGGGUGCAAGCGUUAUCCGGAAUUAUUGGGCGUAAAGAGCUCGUAGGCGGUUUGUCGCGUCUGCUGUGAAAUUUCGGGGCUCAACCCCGAACUUGCAGUGGGUACGGGCAGACUAGAGUGUGGUAGGGGAGACUGGAAUUCCUGGUGUAGCGGUGAAAUGCGCAGGUAUCAGGAGGAACACCGAUGGCGAAGGCAGGUCUCUGGGCCACUACUGACGCUGAGAAGCGAAAGCAUGGGGAGCGAACAGG
Molecule: ribosomal RNA, 253 nt
Filed under: uncultured bacterium
Lineage: Bacteria
Description: partial 16S ribosomal RNA
Rfam family: Bacterial small subunit ribosomal RNA
Source: RNAcentral